CCUACGGGAUGCAGCAGUAGGGAAUCUUUCACACUGGGCGAAAGCCUGAUGGAGCAACGCCGCGUGCAGGAUGAAGGCCUUCGGGUUGUAAACUGCUUUUAUAAGCGAGAAAUAUGAUGGUAACUUAUGAAUAAGGAUCGGCUAACUACGUGCCAGCAGCCGCGGUCAUACGUAGGAUCCGAGCAUUAUCCGGAGUGACUGGGUGUAAAGAGUUGCGUAGGUGGCAUAAUAAGUAGCUAGUGAAAUCUGGUGGCUCAACCAUUCAGACUAUUAGCUAAACUGUUAAGCUCGAGACCGUUAGGGGUAACUGGAAUUUCUAGUGUAGGAGUGAAAUCCGUAGAUAUUAGAAGGAACACCAAUAGCGUAGGCAGGUUGCUGGGACGGUUCUGACACUAAGGCACGAAAGCGUAGGGAGCAAACGGGAUGAGAUACCCGUGUAGUC
RNAcentral lists this ribosomal RNA (442 nucleotides) under uncultured bacterium. RNAcentral's name for it is "partial 16S ribosomal RNA". It matches the Rfam family "Bacterial small subunit ribosomal RNA", at positions 338 to 795 of the family's 1533-position model. The record is from RNAcentral.